Molecule: ribosomal RNA, 497 nt
Filed under: uncultured bacterium
Lineage: Bacteria
Description: partial 16S ribosomal RNA
Rfam family: Bacterial small subunit ribosomal RNA
Source: RNAcentral
GAUGAACGCUGGCGGCGUGCCUAAUACAUGCAAGUCGAGCGAACGGACGAGAAGCUUGCUUCUCUGAUGUUAGCGGCGGACGGGUGAGUAACACGUGGAUAACCUACCUAUAAGACUGGGAUAACUUCGGGAAACCGGAGCUAAUACCGGAUGAUAUUUUGAACCGCAUGGUUCAAAAGUGAAAUACGGUCUUGCUGUCACUUAUAGAUGUAUCCGCGCUGCAUUAGCUAGUUGGUAAGGUAACGGCUUACCAAGGCAACGAUGCAUAGCCGACCUGAGAGGGGGAUCGGCCACACUGGAACUGAGACACGGUCCAGACUCCUACGGGAGGCAGCAGUAGGGAAUCUUCCGCAAUGGGCGAAAGCCCGACGGAGCAACGCCGCGUGAGUGAUGAAGGUCUUCGGAUCGUAAAACUCUGUUAUUAGGGAAGAACAUAUGUGUAAGUAACUGUGCACAUCUUGACGGUACCUAAUCAGAAAGCCACGGCUAACUACGUG